RNAcentral lists this ribosomal RNA (394 nucleotides) under uncultured bacterium. RNAcentral's name for it is "bacterial SSU rRNA". It matches the Rfam family "Bacterial small subunit ribosomal RNA", at positions 775 to 1183 of the family's 1533-position model. The record is from RNAcentral.
GGAUUAGAUACCCGGGUAGUCCACGCCGUAAACGAUGGAUACUAGCUGUCGGGGGUAUCGACCCCCUCGGUAGCGAAGCUAACGCGUUAAGUAUCCCGCCUGUGGAGUACGGCCGCAAGGCUAAAACAUAAAGGAAUUGACGGGGAUCAGCACAAGCGGUGGAUCGUGUUCUUUAAUUCGAUGAUAAACGAAGAACCUUACCAGGGUUUGACAUCCUUGGAAGCACUGUGAAAGCAGAGUGUGCCUUUUGGAACCAAGUGACAGGUGUUGCAUGGCCGUCGUCAGCUCGUGUCGUGAGAUGUUUGGUUAAGUCCAUCAACGAGCGCAACCCUUGUGAAUAGUUGUAUUUUUCUAUUCAGACUGCUCUAGUAAUAGGGAGGAAGGAGGGGAUGAU